This 496-nucleotide ribosomal RNA is filed under the name uncultured bacterium. RNAcentral describes it as "partial 16S ribosomal RNA". It matches the Rfam family "Bacterial small subunit ribosomal RNA", at positions 28 to 523 of the family's 1533-position model. The record is from RNAcentral.
GAUGAACGCUAGCGGCAGGCCUAACACAUGCAAGUCGAGGGGUAGAAGCAGCUUGCUGCUUUGAGACCGGCGCACGGGUGCGUAACGCGUAUGCAAUCUACCUUUUACUAAGGAAUAGCCCAGAGAAAUUUGGAUUAAUGCCUUAUGGUAUAUUUGAAUGGCAUCAUUUAAAUAUUAAAGAUUUAUUGGUAAAAGAUGAGCAUGCGUCCCAUUAGUUAGUUGGUAAGGUAACGGCUUACCAAGACGAUGAUGGGUAGGGGUCCUGAGAGGGACAUCGCCCACACUGAUAAUGAGACACGGACCAGACUCCUAGGGGAGGCAGCAGUGAGGAAUAUUGGGCGAUGGAGGCAACUCUGAACCAGCCAUGCCGCGUGCAGGAUGACGGUCCUAUGGAUUGUAAACUGCUUUUGUACAGGAAGAAAAAGAGUUACGUGUAGCUUAUUGACGGUACUGUAAGAAUAAGGAUCGGCUAACUCCGUGCCAGCAGCCGCGGUAA